Molecule: ribosomal RNA, 150 nt
Filed under: uncultured Enterobacter sp.
Lineage: Bacteria; Pseudomonadati; Pseudomonadota; Gammaproteobacteria; Enterobacterales; Enterobacteriaceae
Description: partial 16S ribosomal RNA
Rfam family: Bacterial small subunit ribosomal RNA
Source: RNAcentral
CGGGAUUUCAGCAGUGGGGAAUAUUUGCACAAUGGGCGCAAGCCUGAUGCAGCCAUGCCGCGUGUAUGAAGAAGGCCUUCGGGUUGUAAAGUACUUUUCAGUGGGGAGGAAGGUGUGAGGUUAAUAACCUCAGCAAUGACGUACCCGCUG